UUCUACUUAGAUCCUGAAGGAGAAGGAAGGAAAUGAAGCUGAAUUUUUAGGGUUUAUAUGAGGUAUUCAAGCUCUCUGCACACACUGGCAAAGUCAAGUGAGAAGAAACAAACUACUGAAUUCUGAUUUUCUUUACACGUGUGAAAGUUAGCCACAGAUGACCACUCCUGCAUGAUGUCAUCUCAGUCCACUGACCUAACAACUCUGAAGGACUUGGAUCUUGAAGUUGCAUCACAAGUUAAGGG
Sapajus apella (tufted capuchin) is the source of this 245-nucleotide long non-coding RNA. RefSeq lists it as uncharacterized. The record is from RefSeq and is a predicted model, not a curated record. The transcript has 2 exons. Lineage: Eukaryota; Metazoa; Chordata; Mammalia; Primates; Cebidae.